Molecule: long non-coding RNA, 2880 nt
Organism: Dendroctonus ponderosae (mountain pine beetle)
Lineage: Eukaryota; Metazoa; Arthropoda; Insecta; Coleoptera; Curculionidae
Exons: 2
Source: RefSeq, a predicted model, not a curated record
UUCACAGUGGCUGAAUGUAAUCAGUAUUUGCCUAAAGACGUGCAAACAGGUGUAGACAGGCAAGUCCAAACACAGAGGCCGAAAAAGGAUGCGAAUUGAUACGGCCGUGAACUAUAGGGACGAGGUUAUAAUUAUUAUUUUUUCGGGGAAAAAUAGCAUAACCGCUGCAUUGCUCUGCUCGCUAAGUGGGGCGAAGCCCUAGGCAAACAAUGCAAGGAUUUCAAGUUGAAACGGGAGAGAAAUUUCUGGGAAAACCACCGCUGAGUGGCGAUCAAUACAUAUAGGUGCCAUGAAGACCUGACUAGUUUCAUCUCUGAUCUGUAGAUGGCAAAUAAAAAACGUCAGAAUCACGCGCUCAUCACAAUAAAUCAACUUGGCUAAGUCAAAAAUCCUCCCAUGUGGUCGUUUAGCACACACUCAACGUCUUAACAGCGCAAUCAAUUUUGACAAUUCGGUAACAUUGAAACAAUACUGGUGCCAUGUAGGAAGGUUCUGUUUGAUUUGCGUCAAUUAUUGCCAAAAACAUUAAGCUGGCGAAACUCUUAUCGCAACUGGUGCGAAGGCUGUUACCAAAUUGUUAAAUAAUAAUACAAAUCGCAUAAAACUGGGCCAACCAGGUGAAUUAGAACUUUGAAGAUCCCUAUCCCUAAAAUGAUGAUAAUGAUCUCAUCUGCUUUACCUUAACAGGUAGGCUGACCGAUAGAGACCAACCAAUCACGUGCCAUGUCAUGCACGUCGUACAUUAGUUUGGCAUGACAGUGACAAUGACAAAGGGCUUUGACGUGGCUCAACUGAAAGGUAACCGAUAUGGUAGUAGCAGCAACCUCGAAUGCACCAUACACAUUUCUAACGGAAGUUUUGCACAACAGAAUCAGCAAAGUGUACAGGCUUUAGUCGCUAAUUAGCGAAUAGAGGUCAUAGUUGGCCGGUAUGUGUAAUAGCGCAGACCUUGCCCGAAAGUGAGCGCACUUUUUGCAAUAUUUCAGUUAAUUACCGUGGGGGAACAGGCGCUGAUUGGUGUUGCGGUUUCCACAACAUAAGCCACGCCAGUGUUACUUUCAAAUACCAAAAAAGUUUUUUUAUUAUGGCACCAGGACAUUAUGGUGAAUGCGCCACUAUAAUGUUCCGAAAGGAACAGCGUUUACUCCAUACAGGGCAGGCUAAGAACAAAAGAAACGAAUUAAACGAAAAAACUCGAUACUACUUCUUCCUGCGACAUUAGUGUAUAUUUCCGAAGGUCAUCAUUCAUACAUUUUAGAUUACAUCGAACAACAUCCACGUGAAUUAUUUCCGUACCAUUAACUUGGGGUUGACAUUCUAAAUAUAAAAGCUACAAUAAUCCUAUAAAUAACUCGGAAUCGAAUGACUAUCAAAUGCGAUUGUUUAGUCCAAAUAUAUACAUUAUCUUAUGUUUAAUUUAAAAAGUGGGCUUGGUUGAGAAAGCAAAAACCGACCAUAUUUCCCGCCGUCAUCAAGAACAAAUAGAACAAAAAGUGCAGUUAUUGCUGCGAGAAUAAUUUACGAAAAACUCGACCUUCUUACCACUUAUCACUGAGCAAAUAGACAUACCUUUCUGCCAGUGCAAUAACACGAGCGACUUCGAACAGUCGCAUUUACGACUAAACAUAACUCAGUUAUUAAUAAACUCAGUAAACUACUAAUCAACUAUUUACAUCGGAAAAACAAUAGAAACUCCGAAAAUAAUCCGUAAUCCCAAUCAAUACUGGACAUUGACGCAUUCAUAACUUAUUUUAGGUGAACGACGGUCGUCCAUAAUUGAAGACCGUCCAUUAUGUAUUACAUGUACCGGAAUUAGUUCCAAAGCCUAACGACAAAAAGGGAUUAAAUGCGUCAACAACAACGAAUUGCUGACGGAAACCAGCGGCAUGUGGAUGGUCUAGACUCUAAAAUCCCAACUACGACUCGCUAACAAGGAAACAGUUGCAUUCAUCAUUCCAGCUAAACCGAGUCAAAGCAAUGGAGGCGAGAGCCACGCUUUUUUCCCUUUGUUCUAUUUUUAGCUGGUUUAGUACAAGUAAUGUCCAAGUUCCAGGAAUCGAAUCUGCGGAAACCAUGGAUGGACGUACGGCAGGAGAUUGAAGCGAACCAUCAUCGCCCGGGUGAUUAAUACAGGACGUCCGGAAACUAGACCCACAGAGUAUCAAAUCUAUUAAGACGAUUUAGCCUUAGUUCUUCGGCUGUUCGUCUAGUUUCCGGACACUCCGCAUAAUCAUCCUUCCUAAAGAAACAACUUAGAAACUAGACAUCGACAUAUCGGCAGUGGCAACUGGCAACACAAAACCUGCCACCAAACGAUUCCCAUAACCAAUCACAUAAACUGAUGUGGUAUCGCAAAGGCCCCAAUCACAAAGCGCUCACCUUAUUGGUGGAACUGGCGUAGUUGUAGGGCCUGGAAGUCUUCGUAGCAACAACCUCGCCGGUUGCUUUCGCUGGGACUUUAGUGGACGCGAUAGUGGUGGAUUCGGGGCUGGUUGUGUUUGGCUUUGUGACCUGAAACAGAAAAAAACAAUGCUCAAAACGGCCCCGCUAACUGAAUUAGCAAAUUUCACAGCGCGGCCUUCAUUCAUUAGAUGCCUGAAUAGGCCACACUAAUUGACAAUGCCGUUAAAAUGGAACCCAGAAGGAACCAAAGCGGAAGAUCUAAUUGGUUCCAGUUUGAUAAUGUUGCUCAAUAUUGCUUGAAAAGUUUGUAUUAGAGAGGUAAGCGCGCUCCAAGUUGGUACCUAAUUGGCCAUUGGCUUACCUCCAAGCUUUCAGGAACGGUCUGAAGAGUCGAUCGCAUGGCUGUCGACAUGACGAUCUCGACCGGGCCGGGAUGGAUGUUAAAGGAGCGGUCGCGCCCAGCACUUCACAUUACCU